Molecule: non-coding RNA, 28 nt
Filed under: Rattus norvegicus (Norway rat)
Lineage: Eukaryota; Metazoa; Chordata; Mammalia; Rodentia; Muridae
Source: RNAcentral
UAACACAAGAUCAGCCUGAAUAGUCAGU